RNAcentral lists this long non-coding RNA (1643 nucleotides) under Durio zibethinus. RNAcentral describes it as "long non-coding RNA (DZIB_LNC001865)". Lineage: Eukaryota; Viridiplantae; Streptophyta; Magnoliopsida; Malvales; Malvaceae. The record is from RNAcentral.
UUUUUUUUACAUUUUUUUUGUGCAAAACAAUAAGCAAUCAUUACAUGUGGGUUCGGCUCAUCCAUAGAGAUAGAUAAUCCACCUUUUUUUUUAAUUUGAAAAAGAAUUAAAAAAAAGCUCAUCCACAUAUGUUUCGUGACCUUAAAAAUAAAUGAAAAACCUUUUUCACAGAGACUCUACAAUUUUUAAAAGAACUAUAAAAAAAUUCUUCAAAGAGAUUUCAUAACUUUAAAAGGAUAUGAAAAUGCUUCUCUAAAUAAAAGUUUUGAAACUUUAACUCUUUGAAAAAAUUUGAAUAAUUUUAUAUUAAAAAAUAUUAAUUUUUUUUUAUAAUUUUAUCUUUUUUUAAAUAUAAAUCAAGCACUACAUAAAAUAUUUAUCAUUAUAAAUAUUUAAUUUUAUUUGAAUUGAUUAAAAUAAAUUGAAUUGCAUUAACGUGAUUUUGAUGUAUUUGUGUCUUGAUUGUGAUUUAAUUAUUAUAAAUAUAUAUUUUAUUAAUCAAUUAGUAAAAAUAAAAUAAUCAAUCAAGUAAAAUCAAUCAAUUAAAAAAAUUAAAAUCAAAUAAACAAGGUUGAAAAGUCAAAAAGGAAAAACCUCCAAUGUGCUUCAAUGUAUUUUAGUCACCUACUGCACAUCUUUUUCUAGAUCUUUUACCUCUUUUGUUUUGGCUUUGAGCAUAAUUUUCGGAUCAUGCUACCUUCAUCUCUUUCUACCUUUAGACCACACGAUUUUAAAAAGGAGAAGCCUUCUGCCAUAAUGAUCUUUCAAGGUCACGAUUUUCAUCAUCCUUACCACAAUCCACUUCCCCAACCAAGACAAUCACCAAUUCUUCCAUUAGUUGCAACAAAUGGCCCCAUUCCCAAAGCUACCAUCAACUGUGACCAGAAGAAUAUCGCCUAAACGAGACCCAUUCUCACGGCCAAAGAAAAAACACCAUUCUCGCAACCUCUUGAUCGUCAAGAACUCAACAUCAACUCAGCCCAACUGAAGCUACAACCAGGGACCCUUCCCCUGCCAAAGAUAGUCCCCAACUCCCAUUUAUAGUACCAAGACAUUGCCCAGCACCAAUCCAGCAGCGCGUCGCCCUGUGCCGCCCUAACACAACCCUGCACAUACCAACCUCGAAAUAAAACUCAACCAAAAUUGGUCACAACCCAAAUACCAAAAAAAUCACAGUCUUCCCUAAAAGGAGGAACCUCAAAACAGCAGCAAAAAUAAAAAAAUAAAAAAGGGAAAACAAAUACCAAAAAAAAGAGAGAGUUUCGAUUUGAGUGAUUUGGGGUAUUUUUAGGCCGAGAUUUUUGGAGAAGAGAGAGGGCAGAGUUAGGAGAGAAACAUAGUGAAGGGAAGAGAAGUUUGAAGCAGCGGUAACGACUGUUUUGGGUUUUGAAGCCACAGGGUUCAAAGCCAGUUCUAGGUUUAUUGAGAUGUUUUUAGGAAAAACCAAGGUCAGAUCCAUGAUAAUGGAAUCAGGAGGAAGAAGUGGGUUAAAUUUGGGCUUGAAUCGGUGUCGACAACUGGCGGCCAGUGACCAAAAGUGUUGGUCGGCAAAGCGGCUGCCGGCUGAUUUUUUGGUUCUUCAUUUGGCCAAUUGCAGAUUUGAGAAAGAGGGAAAGCAUUUGAGAGAGUGUGUGAGGAAAGAG